GUAACGACUUGUUCCGCUUUUAGCGGACGGAGUUGGGAAACGCGAAGUUAUUGUUUCCCGGCUAAUACGCCGAGACCCCACUCUAAAAUUUUAGAAGGGUUAAGAUAUAGUCUGCGCACAUGGUGACAUGUGA
RNAcentral lists this non-coding RNA (133 nucleotides) under Candidatus Jorgensenbacteria bacterium GW2011_GWA1_48_13. The record is from RNAcentral. RNAcentral also lists the same sequence under 1 other name. Lineage: Bacteria; Candidatus Joergenseniibacteriota.